This 368-nucleotide ribosomal RNA is filed under the name uncultured bacterium. RNAcentral's name for it is "bacterial SSU rRNA". It matches the Rfam family "Bacterial small subunit ribosomal RNA", at positions 28 to 395 of the family's 1533-position model. The record is from RNAcentral.
GAUGAACGCUAGCGGCAGGCUCAAUACAUGCAAGUCGAGGGGCAGCAUGAGUAGCAAUACUUGAUGGCGACCGGCAAACGGGUGCGGAACACGUACGCAACCUUCCUUUAAGUGGGGAAUAGCCCGGGGAAACCCGGAUUAAUACCCCGUAGAUUAUGAUGUGGCAUCACAUUAUAAUUAUAGAUUCAUCGCUUAAAGAUGGGCGUGCGCCUGAUUAGGAGUUGGCGGGGUAACGGCCCACCAAGCCUGCGAUCAGUAACUGGUGUGAGAGCACGACCAGUCACACGGGCACUGAGACACGGGCCCGACUCCUACGGGAGGCAGCAGUAAGGAAUAUUGGUCAAUGGACGCAAGUCUGAACCAGCCAU